CGGGGUAUAGCUCAGUGGUAGAGUGUGUGCUUAGCAUGCAUAAGGUCCUGGGUUCAAUCCCUAGUACCGCCA
Molecule: transfer RNA, 72 nt
Filed under: Camelus bactrianus (Bactrian camel)
Lineage: Eukaryota; Metazoa; Chordata; Mammalia; Artiodactyla; Camelidae
Also listed under: 2 other names
Rfam family: tRNA
About the family: Transfer RNA (tRNA) molecules are approximately 80 nucleotides in length. Their secondary structure includes four short double-helical elements and three loops (D, anti-codon, and T loops).
Source: Rfam by way of RNAcentral